CUCGAGUCAAUAUUUUUUCCCAGUUUUUUGUGGUAAAAUUAGGUACCUCUGCUUAUAUUCGGGACGGCUUAUACUGCAGUAUAUACGGUAUUAUUAUAUUUCAAGA
This is a long non-coding RNA of Nanorana parkeri, 106 nucleotides long. RefSeq lists it as uncharacterized. The transcript is spliced from 3 exons. The record is from RefSeq and is a predicted model, not a curated record. Lineage: Eukaryota; Metazoa; Chordata; Amphibia; Anura; Dicroglossidae.